GACGAACGCUGGCGGCGUGCUUAACACAUGCAAGUCGAACGGAAAGGCCCUGCUUUUGUGGGGUGCUCGAGUGGCGAACGGGUGAGUAACACGUGAGUAACCUGCCCUUGACUUUGGGAUAACUUCAGGAAACUGGGGCUAAUACCGGAUAGGAGCUCCUGCUGCAUGGUGGGGGUUGGAAAGUUUCGGCGGUUGGGGAUGGACUCGCGGGUUAUCAGCUUGUUGGUGGGGUAGUGGAUUACCAAGGCUUUGACGGGUAGCCGGCCUGAGAGGGUGACCGGCCACAUUGGGACUGAGAUACGGCCCAGACUCCUACGGGAGGCAGCAGUGGGGAAUAUUGCACAAUGGGCGGAAGCCUGAUGCAGCAACGCCGCGUGCGGGAUGACGUCCUUCGGGUUGUAAACCGCUUUCGCCUGUGACGAAGCGUGAGUGACGGUAAUGGGUAAAGAAGCACCGGCUAACUACGUG
Molecule: ribosomal RNA, 468 nt
Filed under: uncultured bacterium
Lineage: Bacteria
Description: partial 16S ribosomal RNA
Rfam family: Bacterial small subunit ribosomal RNA
Source: RNAcentral